Molecule: ribosomal RNA, 497 nt
Filed under: uncultured bacterium
Lineage: Bacteria
Description: partial 16S ribosomal RNA
Rfam family: Bacterial small subunit ribosomal RNA
Source: RNAcentral
GAUGAACGCUGGCGGCGUGCCUAAUACAUGCAAGUCGAGCGCACAGACGAGGAGCUUGCUCCUCUGACGUUAGCGGCGGACGGGUGAGUAACACGUAGAUAACCUACCUUUAAGACUGGGAUAACUACGGGAAACCGGAGCUAAUACCGGAUAAUAUAUGGAAACGCAUGGUUUAAUAGUGAAAGGCGCUUUUGCUGCACCUUAAAGAGGAAUCCGCUUGUCUUUAGCUGUAUGGGAAGGUAACGGCUUACCAAGGCAAGGAUGCGUAGCCGACCUGAGAGGGUGAUCGGCCACACUGGAACGGAGACACGGUCCAGACUCCUACGGGAGGCGGCAGUGGGGAAUCUUGGGCAAUGGGCGAAAGCCUAACGGAGCAAGGCCGCGUGAGUGAUGAAGUUUUUCGGAUCGUAAGACUCUGUUAUUAGGGAGGAACAGUGGUGUAAGUAACAAUGCACAUCUUGACGGUACCUAAUCAGAAAGCCACGGCUAACUACGUG